CCUACGGGUGGCAGCAGUGGGGAAUAUUGCACAAUGGGGGAAACCCUGAUGCAGCGACGCCGCGUGAAGGAAGAAGUCUUUCGGUAUGUAAACUUCUUUCAGCAGGGAAGAAAAUGACGGUACCUGACUAAGUAGCCCCGGCUAACUACGUGCCAGCAGCCGCGGUAAUACGUCGGGUGCAAGCGUUAUCCGGAUUUACUGGGUGUAAAGGGAGCGUAGGCGGUGUAGCAAGUCAGAGGUGAAAGCCCGGGGCUCAACUUCGGGACUGCUUUUGAAACUGUUGAACUAGAUAGCAGGCGUGGUAAGUGGAAUGCAUAGUGUAGCAGUGAAAUGCGUAGAGAUCAGGAAGAACACCGGUGGCGAAGGCAGCUUACUGGACUGCAAAUGACGCUGAGGCACGAAAGCGUGGGGAGCAAACAGGAUUAGAUACCCUUGUAGUC
RNAcentral lists this ribosomal RNA (440 nucleotides) under uncultured bacterium. RNAcentral's name for it is "partial 16S ribosomal RNA". It matches the Rfam family "Bacterial small subunit ribosomal RNA", at positions 338 to 795 of the family's 1533-position model. The record is from RNAcentral.